AUUGAACGCUGGCGGCAUGCCUUACACAUGCAAGUCGAACGGCAGCACGGGUGCUUGCACCUGGUGGCGAGUGGCGAACGGGUGAGUAAUGUAUCGGAACGUACCUUUCAGUGGGGGAUAACUAUCCGAAAGGAUAGCUAAUACCGCAUAUUCUGUGAGCAGGAAAGCAGGGGAUCGCAAGACCUUGCGCUGAUUGAGCGGCCGAUAUCAGAUUAGCUAGUUGGUGGGGUAAAGGCCUACCAAGGCUACGAUCUGUAGCGGGUCUGAGAGGAUGAUCCGCCACACUGGAACUGAGACACGGUCCAGACUCCUACGGGAGGCAGCAGUGGGGAAUUUUGGACAAUGGGGGCAACCCUGAUCCAGCCAUGCCGCGUGAGUGAAGAAGGCCUUCGGGUUGUAAAGCUCUUUCAGCCGGGAAGAAAUCGCAUAGGCUAAUAUCCUGUGCGGAUGACGGUACCGGAAUAAGAAGCACCGGCUAACUACGUGCCAGCAGCCGCGGUAAUACGUAGGGUGCGAGCGUUAAUCGGAAUUACUGGGCGUAAAGCGUGCGCAGGCGGUUUUUUAAGAUAGGCGUGAAAUCCCCGGGCUUAACCUGGGAACUGCGCUUAUGACUGGAAGACUAGAGUACGGCAGAGGGGGGUGGAAUUCCACGUGUAGCAGUGAAAUGCGUAGAGAUGUGGAGGAACACCGAUGGCGAAGGCAGCCCCCUGGGCCGAUACUGACGCUCAUGCACGAAAGCGUGGGGAGCAAACAGGAUUAGAUACCCUGGUAGUCCACGCCCUAAACGAUGUCAACUAGGUGUUGGGUGGGUAAAACCAUUUAGUACCGUAGCUAACGCGUGAAGUUGACCGCCUGGGGAGUACGGCCGCAAGGUUAAAACUCAAAGGAAUUGACGGGGACCCGCACAAGCGGUGGAUGAUGUGGAUUAAUUCGAUGCAACGCGAAAAACCUUACCUACCCUUGACAUGUCAGGAACUUUCCAGAGAUGGAUUGGUGCCCGAAAGGGAGCCUGAACACAGGUGCUGCAUGGCUGUCGUCAGCUCGUGUCGUGAGAUGUUGGGUUAAGUCCCGCAACGAGCGCAACCCUUGUCAUUAGUUGCCAUCAUUUAGUUGGGCACUCUAAUGAGACUGCCGGUGACAAACCGGAGGAAGGUGGGGAUGACGUCAAGUCCUCAUGGCCCUUAUGGGUAGGGCUUCACACGUCAUACAAUGGUCGGUACAGAGGGUUGCCAAGCCGCGAGGUGGAGCCAAUCCCAGAAAGCCGAUCGUAGUCCGGAUCGUAGUCUGCAACUCGACUGCGUGAAGUCGGAAUCGCUAGUAAUCGCGGAUCAGAAUGCCGCGGUGAAUACGUUCCCGGGUCU
This 1361-nucleotide ribosomal RNA is filed under the name uncultured bacterium. RNAcentral's name for it is "bacterial SSU rRNA". It matches the Rfam family "Bacterial small subunit ribosomal RNA", at positions 28 to 1381 of the family's 1533-position model. The record is from RNAcentral.